This 316-nucleotide long non-coding RNA is filed under the name Ananas comosus (pineapple). Its description in RNAcentral is "long non-coding RNA (ACOM_LNC030586)". The record is from RNAcentral. Lineage: Eukaryota; Viridiplantae; Streptophyta; Magnoliopsida; Poales; Bromeliaceae.
UCUAAAAUCAUGAAGUUACGCUGUACAUUUGGUUGGAGAGCCAUUAGAAUGGUUUCGAUGAAGUUCGGUGAGGUUCGGGAGCAUUCGGGCGUUUCGGUGUGCGUAGGCGCGAAAACGGAACCCGAAAGGCUAUAUUGGACUGUGAGCUAAAUCCGGCAUUUGCGUGGAUAAAAAGAUGAUGAAAACAUGCUUGAAAAUAUGUUUGGAGAGUCUCGGUUCGAUUUGAAAAGAAUCGGAGGUCAGACGAGCAAAAACAGACGAAAACGGGCGAAAAUGCUGAAAAUUUGGCUGUCCUUGAAGGCUGGUUUCUGGACCU